ACAUGUUCUGGCAAGUGCGUGGGCUCAUGAACUUGCACACACCAGGAAAAUCAACACAGAUGUGCAAUGGGAUUUUGCAGUAAGAUUCCAUAAAGAUGCUCCACCAGAGCAAAUGAUAUCGUGAUAGCAACAGCAACUCUUCAGAACUGGAUCAAUUCUGAAUAGAAAUUGGGCAGGGCAACCAUCAAUUUGACAACAAAUGUGCAGCAGUGGUGGAUUCUAUGUCUAGAUUUCCCAUAAGAUUAUUGUGGAAAUGACUUUGCUGACACGCAUGAAAAAUGAUGUGGAAUUUAAAUCUUUGAGGCUAACAUUCGUAAAUGAGUUGAGUGUUGAGGACAUGUGGCGAAGACCUAAAGCUUGUCCAGGAUUACUCGAUGUGUUUGUGGUGCUCCCACAGUGGGGCAAAGUUUUCCUCUCAUAUUAAUGUGCAAUUUGUCACUCUUACUGGAAUAGAAGUAUAGUUUUCUGGAGCAUAUUAUGAAGAGUUAAAAAAUAAUCCCUCACAUGUUAUGACCUUGGCUGUAUUUCCUUGACAGUGCAGUUGAUUCAACAUCCUUACUUGCAAAUGUUGCAUGAAUGGUUUAUUCUAGAGCUCCAGAGACUGAACAUUCUUGUUGAUGGUAGGCUUCAACCAGAUUGAGCUCCUGCUGACUUAUUCUGUCUGUGUUAGAGAAAUAUUGGAUGGAAUUUUAUCUCGCAGGUGGAUAAGGAGAAGGUCACUGCAUCUGCCAGCACUGAUCGAGUGGACUCUGAGGAGUCCACAUCUGAAUUGACAGUUCCCUCUAGGAAAUAAUUAAGCAGCUUGUUGCAAAACAGUGAUUCCAGACAAUUACCGAUUUGAAGCGAGCUUCUACAAAGGCAUUCCAGGAAAUCGCACUGCCUAUGCUUCAGAAAAUUUCACAUGGACCUGGCGCUACAUCGUUUUGUGCCGUGACAGUGAUGGUGCCCAUACCAAUGUCUCUCAGUAAACAAGGGAGCAUAAAACAUCAGUGUUUGUUACACAACUGUGACAUGUUCAAAAUAAAUAAAUACACAUAUCAUGACCAAAAAAGAAGGGGAGUAGCAAGACUUCGACCAGACUGUAUGAAAUUAAAAUCGAUGCAUGUUUCACACUUCAUAAAGAAGCUGAACUAUAAACUUCCAUAAGAUCACUUUUAAUGUAGGACAAUUUGCUUAUACAAACUAAUUUGCAGAGGACUAUUAUGUUGAUUAUGUAAGCUGUUGAAGUAUUCAAAAUUGUUUGCACAAAUUUAGCUAACAUUUGAAAAGCUGUUUAGUUCAAGGUGCAAAUCUUAGUAGUUUCUAAUUAAUUUUGAUUGUGGUGCACAAUACCAGCCAGCUUCAUUUAAUAUGUGAUAGUAUAUUUUAAAAAUGCCUUUAUCAGAAGAUGCAGCAUAAUUUGUAACUUGUUUGAAUGGAUACCAGAGACAGUUAUGUGAAAAGCACUGCUACAGUCUUCAUUUUUCGGCUGACUGGUGGGUACUGAUGAACAAAACCUGUUGAUGUUCACUGAUAUGGGUCUUAAUGAAUGUAAUAGGCCCUUCUGUGCAAGUAUGGGACCUUACCUAUGUGAAAAUUGAAGUCACGGUGAUAGUACUAAUGGAUCGGUUGGAAAUGCUUGUCUCAUUGUAGUUUUCCUCAAGUUCAAGGCAGUUGUGGCAACAGUAUAGUGAAUAUACAGAACUGCCCAAUUUGGGGUACUUUUAAACCUUGUGUCGUGCUCACAGGGCCAUAGCCCUCGCCUCUUGUAAUAUGUUCGGAAUUACAAUCACCUUUAUUCGUGGCCCAUUCUUCUUUGAAGAAAAUACACCCAGGUGUACCAUGUGACGUCUGCACGUUAUUGAGAACUUAUACAGCAGCUGUGAGGAAACCAUUGUUUUCGUGCAAGAUGGGGGCAACAUCUCGUGUCACUCGCCCAGUGAUAGAGACUGAGAGACGUGAUCACGUUAAUAACCGUGAUCUCUCACUUGUGACGAGUUCAGAUACAUCAAGUUGGUAUUACGUGAUUUACCCGAGUAUAAGUGGUCAAGUGAAACAUUAAAUUUAAGUUCAAAAUUUGUGGUACCAUGACGGAGAUGUUGAAACAAGCAAUCGGCAGCUCAACAGCAGACCAGAUGAAAGCCUAUGAAGAAUAUUGCCUGCAAAUUAUAAUUUUCGUAUGUUAAGUAUUGAAAGUUGCAUAUGUACUACACAGUUAUUUUGUGCAAGUGAAGAGGAAGUUAUGGAGGACCGCAUCAAACUACUCUGAAGACUGUUCACCAAAUCUCGAUUACUCUUUCUUACGAGUUGGCGUGGGACAUAAGAAGUGGCAGAAAAUCGCACUGGACGCAGAGUCUGUAACUGCACAUCCUUGUAUCAGCCUAAUGGACUGGUUGGUGCCUGAUGUCCAAAUGAGGAUUUUUAAAUCUGGAACUGUACCCACAAAGUAAUGUUCAGAAGCGGCAGCACUGUUUCUUGGUACGACACGAAGUUUCUUCUGUACGUGAAGCUGGUGCAUCUUGCAGUCGUCAGAAGUUGCUAUAAGGCAAAGAUGGGGUACACGGCCUACAGGAAGCUCUACACAGCAUAGCUCUGUGAUAAGUUGCUAAAAAAUGUGCACACUGUGCAAUUCUAGUUGUGGUCACUCACAUCAGAAUGGUUCUUAAGCAGGUAAAACAAUUGCGAUUUUUGAAGAGUUUGCAGACUGUUUAUCUGAACUUCAGAAAUUUUAUACGAGGAGACGCUAAUGUUGGUUCAGCAGAGACAGUAAAUGUAGAUGAUGCGGAUAUAUGUCGUGUUAUGGUUUCUGUUGACGCAAUAGGUAUUCGACAAAAAAUUUGUUUCCUGUUGGUUAUUGGCACGAUCGUGUGCUUUUGUAAAAACAGCUAUAUUGAGACAUUUCAGAGUGUGUGCGCAAAUGGACAGGCCUGAAGAAUUUGUGAUAUGUCUCCUGGAACCUUACCAAAUGUUUGGAGAUUAAUGUAAACCUUUUAGAAGGAUUUGUUAAUAUUUAUCCCUAUAUUUUUUUUAAUGGUUGUAACACCAUGCCCAUAUAUUGUAAACAAACUCUUAUUAUUUAGAAAAGAAGUAGGUUGAAAGCAAAUUUUCGCAGUAAUUCUGCAAGAGAUAGCUUUUUGCAGGGGUCUGAAUUGCUGUGGUGUGGGCAAAGUAACAAAGGAAAAAAUAGGAUUGAGUUAUUAUUUUAAGGCACUGCAUUCUGCGCCCUGGCAGCUUUCUUCUGAUGUACUCUAUUCUGGUGGCCCUGUGAUGGGGAAUGUCACAAUUUUGCACUGUGAUCCUUACCUGCCAGUGAGAAGUUCCCUUAGCCUUUGACUGUAAACAAACGCAGCUACCAUGUCAAAGGUCAUAGUCCUUAGAUUAACUUUUA
Long non-coding RNA from Schistocerca serialis cubense, 3367 nucleotides. RefSeq lists it as uncharacterized. The transcript has 3 exons. The record is from RefSeq and is a predicted model, not a curated record. NCBI's taxonomy places the organism in Eukaryota, Metazoa, Arthropoda, Insecta, Orthoptera, Acrididae.